GACGAACGCUGGCGGCGUGCCUAAUACAUGCAAGUCGAACGCUGAAGGAGGCUCUUGCUUUUCUGGAUGAGUCGCGAACGUGUGAGAAACACGUAGGUAAGCUCCCUGGUAGCGGGUGAUAACGGUUGGAAACGAUAGCUACUACCGCCUAAGAGUAGAUGAUGCAUGACGUUCGCAUAACAGCUGCCGUUGCAUCACGACGAGGUCGGCCUGCGUUGUUUUAGCUGGUUGGGGGGGUAAAGGCGCACCAAGGCGACGAUACUUAGCCGACCAGGGAGGGUGAUCGGCCACACUUGGACUGGGGCACGGCCCAAGACUCUUCGGGAGGCAGCAGUAGGGGAUCAUCGGCAAUGGGCGGCAGUCUUACCGCACAACGCCGGCUGAGUGAAGGAGGGUCUCCGGUCGUAAAGCCCUGUUGUACGGGGAGAACGAGGGUGGGACUGAAAAGUUCACCCUGUGACGGUACCUGAUCAGAAAGCGACGGCUAACUACGUG
RNAcentral lists this ribosomal RNA (495 nucleotides) under uncultured bacterium. RNAcentral's name for it is "partial 16S ribosomal RNA". It matches the Rfam family "Bacterial small subunit ribosomal RNA", at positions 28 to 507 of the family's 1533-position model. The record is from RNAcentral.